UGGGGAAUUGUUCGCAAUGGGCGCAAGCCUGACGACGCAACGCCGCGUGGAGGAUGAAGAUCUUCGGGUCGUAAACUCCUUUCGAUCGAGACGAACGGCCUCCGGGUGAACAAUCCGGGGGAGUGACGGUACCGAGAGAAGAAGCCCCGGCUAACUCCGUGCCAGCAGCCGCGGUAAUACGGGGGGGGCAAGCGUUGUUCGGAAUUACUGGGCGUAAAGGGCUCGUAGGUGGCCAACUAAGUCGGACGUGAAAUCCCUCGGCUUAACCGGGGAACUGCGUCCGAUACUGGAUGGCUUGAGUUUGGGAGAGGGACGCGGAAUUCCAGGUGUAGCGGUGAAAUGCGUAGAUAUCUGGAGGAACACCGGUGGCGAAGGCGGCGUCCUGGACCAACACUGACACUGAUGAGCGAAAGCCAGGGGAGCAAACGGGAUUAGAUACCCCGGUAGUCCUGGCCCUAAACGAUGAAUGCUUGGUGUGGCGGGUAUCGAUCCCUGCCGUGCCGAAGCUAACGCAUUAAGCAUUCCGCCG
This 529-nucleotide ribosomal RNA is filed under the name uncultured Acidobacteriota bacterium. Its description in RNAcentral is "bacterial SSU rRNA". It matches the Rfam family "Bacterial small subunit ribosomal RNA", at positions 355 to 873 of the family's 1533-position model. Lineage: Bacteria; Pseudomonadati; Acidobacteriota. The record is from RNAcentral.